GCGCCCGUAGCUCGGCGGCUAGAGUGCCGGCCUCAUACACCGGAGCUGGCGGGUUCAAAUCCAGCCUGGGGCC
RNAcentral lists this transfer RNA (73 nucleotides) under Otolemur garnettii (small-eared galago). It matches the Rfam family "tRNA". Rfam says of the family: Transfer RNA (tRNA) molecules are approximately 80 nucleotides in length. Their secondary structure includes four short double-helical elements and three loops (D, anti-codon, and T loops). Lineage: Eukaryota; Metazoa; Chordata; Mammalia; Primates; Galagidae. The record is from Rfam by way of RNAcentral.